RNAcentral lists this ribosomal RNA (519 nucleotides) under uncultured bacterium. Its description in RNAcentral is "bacterial SSU rRNA". It matches the Rfam family "Bacterial small subunit ribosomal RNA", at positions 8 to 518 of the family's 1533-position model. The record is from RNAcentral.
AGGGUUCGAUUCUGGCUCAGGAUGAACGCUAGCUACAGGCUUAACACAUGCAAGUCGAGGGGCAGCAUUGGAGUAGCAAUACUCAGAUGGCGACCGGCGCACGGGUGAGUAACGCGUAUCCAACCUGCCGCUUACUCGGGGAUAGCCUUUCGAAAGAAAGAUUAAUACCCGAUGGUAUAAAGAGUUCGCAUGUUCUCUUUAUUAAAGAAUUUCGGUAAGCGAUGGGGAUGCGUUCCAUUAGAUAGUUGGCGGGGUAACGGCCCACCAAGUCUACGAUGGAUAGGGGUUCUGAGAGGAAGGUCCCCCACAUUGGAACUGAGACACGGUCCAAACUCCUACGGGAGGCAGCAGUGAGGAAUAUUGGUCAAUGGACGAGAGUCUGAACCAGCCAAAAGUAGCGUGAAGGAUGACUGCCCUAUGGGUUGUAAACUUCUUUUAUAAGGGAAUAAAGUGAGGGACGUGUCCCUUUUUGUAUGUACCUUAUGAAUAAGGAUCGGCUAACUCCGUGCCAGCCGCCGC